AUGAUGUCUCUAGCAGUGUGUACCAUGACAGGGUCGUCCGUGAUGAUAUUUUACAGCAGAUCGCCCAAGAGCUACAUUUAUCAGCUUGAAGACGACACUAGUGCUCAAGGAGGAGCAGACAGUGAUCUGGAAAAUGACACUGAUCUGUCACCUGGUUCAGAGCAGAGUUCUUGUGACACACAAACACUUGUGAAAAGGAACAACCUGCCUCUGGACCACCUGCCUUUGGAAAUACAUCACGUCGGGCCAAGUACAGGCUUCAGAAAAAUAACAACAUUGAGCAACAAAAACUUGCAAUACUCAAUAAGGUUGCAGACCGAAUUUCUAAUAGAGAGGAAAAAGGGGAGAAUUCCUUUGGGAAACAGGUGGGGGAGGAACUUGGCCGAAUUAAAAACCCUGUCCUAGUACUGAGACUAAAAAGAGCCAUAAUGUCUCAGAUUUAUGAUGCUCAAGAAAGUGAAAUUUCUGUGCAUCCUAUGCAAACUCAUCCAGGCUUCCCCAUGUCUGGAAGUUACUUUUCUCCCCAUCCUACAUACAUUGCUAAUCCACCAUCCGCACCCCCACGCCCCUUAAUAUCCCAGCCAAAUUACACAUUAAUGCAUCAGCUAGACGAUACAGGGUGCAAUCAGCUACAAGAGCUGUAGUUGUAUUUUGUUUUUUUGUUUUUUGGCCAUUAUUUUGGCUAGAAUAUGGUUAAAAAAUGCUGUAGGCAACACAGAAAUAAACACAGAAUGCUUAACUUUUGAUUGAUGUAAUUUUAUCUAGUUUUUAUUGGGAUUUUUGUGUUUUGACACAAAAUUUGUUAUUGCAAUUUGUGAUCUUAAAUAUUUUGUGUUUCACUCGCUCAAAAUGUUUGACAUCUUAUAGAACAUGUUGUUAAUAAAAUGCUGGUAAUAACAAGAAAAUAAAAAAUAAUAAUGAAAACAUAGACAAUGAAGUGUUGUUGUUGUUGUUUUUUUAGUUUAUCCAUUACACAUACUGAUCUUGCCAUGGUACACAGCCAGAUGGGGAGAGAAAGUAUUCUUUAAGAUGGUCACGUUGCUCUUUGGCAGCUAUUGCUGGAUUUUCCCCUUCUCCCAUGUUAACUGACUGCAGGGUUCUCUCUUGUCUCCAUGUCCCAUCGUGGAGCUGAUGGUUCUCAUCCUCCCAGUCAGUGUAUCCAGGUGGAAGGUAGACAUCUGAUUGCUUGUGACGUAAGAAAUUGUGAAGGCACGGUGCAGCCAAAGUGACAGUAACUGCUUUGUCAGGAUUAAGGCAGAUGGUUGUGCGGAACACCCUGAGGCGGUUUGCUAGAAUUCCAAAAGCAUUUUCUACAACACGUCUUGCACGGGAUAGCCUUUAGUUGAAAAUGCGUUGUUCAGGCUGUAAUCGUCUGUGGGGGUAAGGCUUCAGCAGGUCAUUUCUCAGUGGGUAAGCUUCAUCUCCCACAAAACAAUAUGGCAUGAUGAUGUUGGUGUUUGGUAGAGCCUCAGCAGGAGGAAGGUUUAAUUUUCUGUCAUCCAAGGCAGCUCGCAAAUCAGACUGUGCAAAUAAACCUGCGUCUGAAACUCUGCCUUGAACUCCCACAUUUGUGUAGAUAAAUCUGUAAUUGGCAUCCACUACAGCCAUCAACAGAAUAAAAAAACCUGGACUUGUAGUUGUAGAAUGUGCUGCCGCUAUUGGCUGGGGGUUGAAUGAAGAUAUGUUUCCCAUCUAUUGCCCCAAGGCAAUGAGGAAAUUGCCACUUCAUGUCAAACUGUUCAGCAAUUUUCCGCCACUGUUCUUCAGAAGUUGGUGUCUGUAAACAUAACAAUACCACAUUAAGAAUGCACAGCUAAAUUGAGAUGAUUACGAUUUUCCGAUAAAUUCACUCGUGACGUGUGCGUGGACAUACGAUCUUCCGACCAUCCGAAUUUGCACCGUGUACGCCCGCCCUAAGGCACAAUAAAGGGUUAGUUAGGGUUAGGGUUAGCAGUGAACUAACCCUUUAGACAUACACAUUACAGACAUAACAUACACACACAUACAUUAAUACAUAGUCAUGGUAUUUUACUUUAUUUCAUUGUACAACCUGAAAAUUAUUAUUAUUAUUAUUAACUGUUAAACUGUUUUGAUUAUACUCUGAUACAUUUAUUGUAACUAACAUGUGUUCUAUAAUUGUAUGUUUUAUAAUUCAGUCUAUGUUAAUGUACAAAUGUUUUUGUUCUAUCACUUUAAUUCUUACAAUUUAAUUUAUUGUUUUAUUAUAACUUCUGUUCACUUAAUAUUUGAAUACUUUUUUAUUUCCAAUUUUACCCUGGCAAUGAAUCUUUUUUCUUUCUUUUUUUUUUUUUUUUUUACACAAUUGUUUAAACUAACACUUUGCUUUUCCAUUUAUUUUGAUAACUUGAUAAUUCAUGUGUUCCUUAAAUGCUGUUUUAUAACAAAGUUCGGGAGGAACAGUCGCAGUUCAUUAACCUGAUUAACACAAGUGGAGACCAAUCAGUAAUCAACUCAUGACAAGGUAUAAAUAACAGCAGAACCUAUCUCUGUUCAUUGACGGUUUUCAGCAUCCCGGUUUGCGCUGUCCGUCAUCUUAUCACAGACGAAAUUUUCCUUCCAACAAGGAGAUCCAUACCGGCGAUUUUUCAGAUCUGCUACUUUGCUGACCAUGAUCAUUAAACACGGCCGUUGAGCACCAUCAAACGUCAUCGCGACAGCUGCUCUUCUUGCCAAGCCACACGUCGUGGCCAAUAGACUGUGCAAAGUUCAAGCUCGCCUCGCUUGACACCACAAUUGAUCCGAUCAAGACCGGGCUCUCUUUGAGCGCUGGAAUCGCAGCACCAGCAGGCAUUCAACCAGCCCGCUCCUCAGUUCUUACCGCAGCAAGCCUCUUUCACUUCCCGCUGCGGCUCAGCCUUUCACCGCGGCUUUUUCCUCCUUCUCUAGCGGCGCAGACCGUGCGUCAUAAAUCAAUACAUUUUCAGAUGAAGACGGUAAAUACAGGUUUGCGGCCAGAAGUAGUGCGAGAGCCGCGUGGAGUUCCGAUCACAUAUGUAUGUGGAAAUUCAGAUCCAAAUUGAGCCUCGGAUGCGUUCAAAUAUUUAAACUUCUGCGACCAGGCCGUGUGCAAACGCCCGACCGGAUGUGAUCUUUCGGUGCGAGGUCAGAAUUACCUAUAUUUUGUUAACCUUGACAUUAUUCUUCAACAUAAUUUAUGUAAAAUGGUGGUUCAUAAUAAUUAUGGCAGAAAUAAUUAUUAAACCAUUAUUUACGUAAUUAGCCCCAGAAAACCUACUGUUUUUAUUUAGGGGGUAAUCUGAUUUGUGACGAUGUAUUCAUACAUUCAUACAAGUUAAGCACGCCUGCCGCGAGAGGGAGAAAUGCGACAAUCGUGUACAAAUGUCGCGUGCUGUGGAAAGGAGGCUUAAAGUUUGUUAAAUCAGGCCAUGAGGUAGUCAUCAUCCACACUGAAAUGUCCAAAGAUAUUAUCUGCCUUACCGUGCAUGUUUUAACCUCACUGAGGUUUUACAGACAAGUUUCAUGCAAUUAUUCUGGCAGGACCAAUUUUCUUGGGGACAUAUUUCACUAUCUACUGGCGUGAUCAUUAUACCCUCGUUUUGCCGCAGGAGUUUUUCUAGGACCGUAAUAUGAAAGCAUGCAAGUAAAUCUCUUUAGAACUGCUUGUAAGUGAACAGCCCAUAACUGCAAUUAACGUUAUUGCCAUAAUCAUGUCUGUUGGUAUGUUUUACAGACAUAAUGAUUUUCAUAGCAUAAUGAUUC
This is a long non-coding RNA of Carassius auratus (goldfish), 3741 nucleotides long. The record is from Ensembl. Lineage: Eukaryota; Metazoa; Chordata; Actinopteri; Cypriniformes; Cyprinidae.